This is a long non-coding RNA of Passer domesticus (house sparrow), 1089 nucleotides long. RefSeq lists it as uncharacterized. The record is from RefSeq and is a predicted model, not a curated record. The transcript is spliced from 2 exons. NCBI's taxonomy places the organism in Eukaryota, Metazoa, Chordata, Aves, Passeriformes, Passeridae.
GCCUAUGUGUAGGUAAGAAAUUGUUAUCAUGCUGUGUUUAAAAGACUGCAAUCAGAAAACAGAAGAAUUAUAUUGUUUGCCUAGAAUUAUUCUACACAACUACUGUUAAACUACUGCAACAUAAUUUAACAAACCUAAAAAUUGCUCCCUUCCUUCUCAGAAGGUUUCAGUAUCUUGGCCAAGUAACAGAACCUUUAACAAUAGUGUUUGGGAGAGAAGGGAACUAACAGUAUUCUGGAAUGCAGCCUACAAAUUUUGUAUAAAGACCCGCUUCCUUAUUGACAUAUUUAGCACUUCCCCAUCUAUAUGGCUGUUUGACAUAACAGAACAUUCUUAAGCAUAUGAACCAAUACCAAAAUUUGAUAAUAAAAAUUACUAUUAAAUAAUUAUUAAAAUUAAAUCUGAUAUACCCAAAGCAUAAGAAACUGAAAACUCUCCACUAAGAUAGUGUAACAGCUUCAGCUGCUAAAAUACAAGUCUUUAUUAAAAUUAAGGAAAACCCCAAAAUAUUAAGAACAAGAAGAAUAAAACUUCAUAGGACAACUGUACUACAGGCACCCCUUAACAGGAUGUGUACAUAUAGAAUGGGAACAAGAGAACAGUUAGUGCUUGAUGGUAAGGAAAAGCUCAUGGGCAAUGGCUGCCUUAAACUGAAAAUCUUAGCUGAACUUUUUUAAAGACAUGCUAAACAAACUAGAGAGUAAAGUUAAUGAGGUAUGGUAAUAUAUAUCUUUCCAUUCAAAAUUAAUUUGCAAUUCUGUAGUUUCUGUAUUUUGAAGCAGGGAAAACACCUAAAACGAAGGAACUUACGGAGAGCAUGACAGCAGAGGCAAGCACAGCAAUUACAGAACCCAUUUCUUUACAACUGCAAGCAACUAUAAGGAAAUUUAAAUCUAAAGGCUUUUACAAUACUGAGCCAAUUACACCCAGUUUACAACCAGAUGGCUUCCGAGACCUGCCCAGUCUUUGGACUGAUACCAAGUGGAAACUAUUAGAACAGGAAAAAGAAGGUGAGAAGAUAAGGUAGAAAACUUGGCUGACCAACCCAUUCAGUAAUUCUCAGUUCCAAAAAAAAAAAACAAACCAAAA